This 954-nucleotide ribosomal RNA is filed under the name Bos taurus (domestic cattle). Its description in RNAcentral is "bacterial LSU rRNA". It matches the Rfam family "Bacterial large subunit ribosomal RNA", at positions 1765 to 2718 of the family's 2925-position model. Lineage: Eukaryota; Metazoa; Chordata; Mammalia; Artiodactyla; Bovidae. The record is from RNAcentral.
AGCGGCCGACAGCCUCAGAAACCAGGCCCCUGCAACUGUUUAUUAAAAACAUAGCACUCUGCAAACACGAAAGUGGACGUAUAGGGUGUGAUGCCUGCCCGGUGCUGGAAGGUUAAUUGAUGGGGUUAGCGUAAGCGAAGCUCUUGAUCGAAGCCCCAGUAAACGGCGGCCGUAACAAUAACGGUCCUAAGGUAGCGAAAUUCCUUGUCGGGUAAGUUCCGACCUGCACGAAUGGCGUAACGAUGGCGGCGCUGUCUCCACCCGAGACUCAGUGAAAUUGAAAUCGCUGUGAAGAUGCAGUGUAUCCGCGGCUAGACGGAAAGACCCCGUGAACCUUUACUGCAGCUUGACACUGAACUUUGACCUUACUUGUGUAGGAUAGGUGGGAGGCUUUGAAGUAGGGACGCCAGUUCCUAUGGAGCCAUCCUUGAAAUACCACCCUGGUUUGUUUGAGGUUCUAACCUUGGUCCGUUAUCCGGAUCGGGGACAGUGCAUGGUAGGCAGUUUGACUGGGGCGGUCUCCUCCUAAAGAGUAACGGAGGAGUACGAAGGUGCGCUCAGCGUGGUCGGAAAUCACGCGUAGAGUAUAAAGGCAAAAGCGCGCUUAACUGCGAGACCCACAAGUCGAGCAGGUACGAAAGUAGGUCUUAGUGAUCCGGUGGUUCUGUAUGGAAGGGCCAUCGCUCAACGGAUAAAAGGUACUCUGGGGAUAACAGGCUGAUUCCUCCCAAGAGUUCAUAUCGACGGGGGAGUUUGGCACCUCGAUGUCGGCUCAUCACAUCCUGGGGCUGUAGCCGGUCCCAAGGGUAUGGCUGUUCGCCAUUUAAAGUGGUACGUGAGCUGGGUUUAAAACGUCGUGAGACAGUUUGGUCCCUAUCUGCCGUGGGCGUUGGAAAUUUGAAGGGGGCUGCUCCUAGUACGAGAGGACCGGAGUGGACGAACCUCUGGUGUACC